This 1347-nucleotide ribosomal RNA is filed under the name uncultured bacterium. RNAcentral's name for it is "partial 16S ribosomal RNA". It matches the Rfam family "Bacterial small subunit ribosomal RNA", at positions 28 to 1381 of the family's 1533-position model. The record is from RNAcentral.
GACGAACGCUGGCGGCGUGGCUUAACACAUGCAAGUCGAACGGAAAGGCCCUGCUUUUGUGGGGUGCUCGAGUGGCGAACGGGUGAGUAACACGUGAGUAACCUGCCCUUGACUUUGGGAUAACUUCAGGAAACUGGGGCUAAUACCGGAUAGGAGCUCCUGCUGCAUGGUGGGGGUUGGAAAGUUUCGGCGGUUGGGGAUGGACUCGCGGCUUAUCAGCUUGUUGGUGGGGUAGUGGCUUACCAAGGCUUUGACGGGUAGCCGGCCUGAGAGGGUGACCGGCCACAUUGGGACUGAGAUACGGCCCAGACUCCUACGGGAGGCAGCAGUGGGGAAUAUUGCACAAUGGGCGGAAGCCUGAUGCAGCAACGCCGCGUGCGGGAUGACGGCCUUCGGGUUGUAAACCGCUUUCGCCUGUGACGAAGCGUGAGUGACGGUAAUGGGUAAAGAAGCACCGGCUAACUACGUGCCAGCAGCCGCGGUGAUACGUAGGGUGCGAGCGUUGUCCGGAUUUAUUGGGCGUAAAGGGCUCGUAGGUGGUUGAUCGCGUCGGAAGUGUAAUCUUGGGGCUUAACCCUGAGCGUGCUUUCGAUACGGGUUGACUUGAGGAAGGUAGGGGAGAAUGGAAUUCCUGGUGGAGCGGUGGAAUGCGCAGAUAUCAGGAGGAACACCAGUGGCGAAGGCGGUUCUCUGGGCCUUUCCUGACGCUGAGGAGCGAAAGCGUGGGGAGCGAACAGGCUUAGAUACCCUGGUAGUCCACGCUGUAAACGGUGGGUACUAGGUGUGGGGUCCAUUCCACGGGUUCCGUGCCGUAGCUAACGCUUUAAGUACCCCGCCUGGGGAGUACGGCCGCAAGGCUAAAACUCAAAGGAAUUGACGGGGCCCCGCACAAGCGGCGGAGCAUGCGGAUUAAUUCGAUGCAACGCGUAGAACCUUACCUGGGUUUGACAUGGAUCGGGAGUGCUCAGAGAUGGGUGUGCCUCUUUUGGGGUCGGUUCACAGGUGGUGCAUGGCUGUCGUCAGCUCGUGUCGUGAGAUGUUGGGUUAAGUCCCGCAACGAGCGCAACCCUUGUUCACUGUUGCCAGCACGUUAUGGUGGGGACUCAGUGGAGACCGCCGGGGUCAACUCGGAGGAAGGUGGGGAUGACGUCAAGUCAUCAUGCCCCUUAUGUCCAGGGCUUCACGCAUGCUACAAUGGCUGGUACAGAGAGUGGCGAGCCUGUGAGGGUGAGCGAAUCUCGGAAAGCCGGUCUCAGUUCGGAUUGGGGUCUGCAACUCGACCUCAUGAAGUCGGAGUCGCUAGUAAUCGCAGAUCAGCAACGCUGCGGUGAAUACGUUCCCGGGGCU